GUGAGCACGCCGGGACUUUCAUCCGUCUUGUUAACAGGUAAAUUCCCCUUUGCUUUGCGCGAUUUCAUAGACAAAAUACAUUACAUUUGCUACUGCAACUAAUCUGUAUAGUGGAUAUCGGAAGUGACACUAUCUUUUAUUUGCUCUUUUCAGUGAUAAACGCGCCAAAUACGACAUCAUCGAGUGCAACUGGAUUUCUGACUCUGUGACUCGGAUUAUAUUAUUCCCAAUUACAGGGUUCAGGUGAAACACCAGGAAGAAGAAUCCAGCACUGGAUGAUCAGCCUUGAGGAGCACAUCAUUUGUGAGGGCAUCCAGCCGCCUUUUCUGUCUGGGCUUGCAGCUGAUUUUUCUACUUACAACAAUUUCAAUCUUCAAUACCAAGCUGAAGACGCAUGCAUGUUGGAAAUUAUUCAAAGGUGGUUCAUCGAGAUAAAUCCGGAAAAGGGACCAGGGCUGGAGGAGUCAUAUCAAAGCUGAUGGGGAAGGUCACCCAGAAAAAGAAAACCGUGAACCCUCGUGUCUGCAGUCUACUUAAAAAAAUGUAUGGAUUUUGAGUUGGA
Onychostoma macrolepis is the source of this 562-nucleotide long non-coding RNA. RefSeq lists it as uncharacterized. Lineage: Eukaryota; Metazoa; Chordata; Actinopteri; Cypriniformes; Cyprinidae. The record is from RefSeq and is a predicted model, not a curated record. The transcript has 3 exons.